This 83-nucleotide transfer RNA is filed under the name Anaerovorax odorimutans. RNAcentral's name for it is "tRNA-Leu". It matches the Rfam family "tRNA". From Rfam's summary of the family: Transfer RNA (tRNA) molecules are approximately 80 nucleotides in length. Lineage: Bacteria; Bacillati; Bacillota; Clostridia; Peptostreptococcales; Anaerovoracaceae. The record is from RNAcentral. RNAcentral also lists the same sequence under 10 other names.
GCGGCUGUGGCGGAAUAGGCAGACGCGCACGGUUGAGGGCCGUGUGGGCGACCGUAUGGGUUCAAGUCCCAUCAGCCGCACCA